AUGGUCCCAGAGAAUAGGUUUUCUUUCCUCCCCUGCUUUGCAGAAGAUGCUCUUAAAGUGGUGGCUGCAGGCCUACAUGUGCAGAGAGACACAUCAGUCUAUCUUAGAUGUUUUCUGGUUGGCAUGAUCUGGAAUCUUCUAUGUGAAUUCAGUUACUACAAAAGAGAGAUCAUCCUGUUUUCCUGGCAUCUAGGCCAGGAAAAGGCCAUCAGUAACAGCAUCACUGUCAUUCUACUUGCCUGCCCUCCAGUUGUGCCUGUUAGGGGGUUUGAAGACUCCCCACAGUCUAGUUCUUGAGAUGCAGUUGCCAGUUCUGGUACCACUCAUGUGACAAGCAAACACUUUUACUGCUUGAUCCAACUUUCCAUCUUGUACGGCUUCUUGUGUUGACAUAGUUACAAAUACUUAUUAUUUGAAGCGGAGCCAGGUUGCUGUCAGCCAAUUGCCUUUCAUUUACACUGUUCAGUUACUCAUCCAUGUAAAAAUAAAAUGCUGUUGAGCUUUAUUGGACUUGCUUUC
Molecule: long non-coding RNA, 519 nt
Filed under: Anser cygnoides (Swan goose)
Lineage: Eukaryota; Metazoa; Chordata; Aves; Anseriformes; Anatidae
Description: lncRNA (ENSACDG00005001124.1)
Source: RNAcentral